CUCGCCAUCCCUCCCCGCCGCCGCCGCCUGCCGCCGCUGCUCGCCAUCCCACCCGCCGCCGCCGCUCGCCAUCCCUCCCCGAGCGGCACUCCCAGACCCUCAACACGCCGCGCGCCGCCGCUCGCCAUCCCCCGCCGCCGCCGCUCCCACACCCUAAGCACGCCGCGCUCCGCCGUCGUCGCGUCCUCUGAUCCUCGCGUCACCGCCAGUCGCCAUCCCUCGCCACCGCCGCCGCCGCUCGGCAUCCCCCGCAUCCGCCGCUCGCUCCAUCGACGAUCUGCGCCGCCUCGACCUCUGCUCGUGUAGAGCAUGCCUAUCCCCCGGCCGAUUCGCAGCGUGGCUGGAGAAGGAAGCUCGAGGCCUCGAGCGCUGCCGCCCAUUCAUCUCCCGAGCCCAAGUGCCGCCGGCCGAUUGGAGCCUGUCCUUCGCCGAUUCGAGCCAGUCCGCGCCGAUUCGUCGUCCUCCACAGGUGGUCCUCUCCUCCCCCGCUCGAGCGCGGCUGCCGCUGUGUGAGCUACACCCCCGCUCAAGCCCAUCUCUGCCCCAAGCUUGACGCCGGUGUCGCUGCUGCCCACAGGCCCUCCGCCCCAAGGUUGUCAGGCUGGAGGUCCCGCAGGUCCACUGCGGAGCUCGCUCACGCAGGCCCGAAGUCUGGAUCUCGCACGGAUCCGGCAAGGACUGGUCCGGCAGCUCCCUGCUACGACGUUCUUAUCGGGUGGCUUUCCAUUGGAGGCAGUGGUGAGAUUGAAGCCUUAGGGGCUAGGUAAGAGGCCGAGAGCAAUGAGCUUCAAGGGUGUACAAAGGCGCGGCCAGGAUGACAAAUGCGGAAGAGAGACCUGGACCGGAGAGAUACUGCAGACUUCGGGCCCGCCGUCCCAGACCCUACUUCUUCAUCCCAGUGCUGAUUCCAUUUUGUGCUAACAUUGAUGCUUCAAGCAGUCGAUUUGCUUGUUUCGGCUGCGCAGCAACUGCUACAUGGCGCAGCCGAUGGCUUGCUCGGUGGGCAAGCUGCCUGACAGCCUUGCUGGCAGGGAUCCUUAAUGAUGCGGGCAACACAGAUCUAGCGACAGCCAGCACAUGAUUGAUGCUAGUGACGCAUCAUCUUGUGCAAGACCAAGAACAGCAACAUCGAAUCCGUACUGGACAAAGCACGAGAGAUAUGUUCUGCAAACUCCUUCAAGAACCACUCCAAGCUAGGUCCUCUCCUUCGCAUGGGUUUUCACCUGGUUCACCGCACGUCGCACAAAACUGACGUUGGGGAGACGAACAGACGUUUAGUGAGCAAUCAUUUGUUUUGUGAACAACCAUAUGUCCUUCAGAUUUAGUGCAUUAGUAAUUAUAAUAUAUAAACAAUUAUUUGUUUUGUGAGCAAUGUUAUUUGUUUUUUUCGAAAUGUCAGUUUGAUUGCCAUUUGCAUUCAAUACUUGAUUUCUUUGUUCUCAGUUAUCUCUGGCACUUGUGUGUACUGUGUAGUCUGAAAAAUUUGUAAUAUUUUUUUCAAU
This is a long non-coding RNA of Setaria italica (foxtail millet), 1502 nucleotides long. RefSeq lists it as uncharacterized. Lineage: Eukaryota; Viridiplantae; Streptophyta; Magnoliopsida; Poales; Poaceae. The transcript is spliced from 3 exons. The record is from RefSeq and is a predicted model, not a curated record.